RNAcentral lists this ribosomal RNA (301 nucleotides) under uncultured bacterium. RNAcentral describes it as "partial 16S ribosomal RNA". It matches the Rfam family "Bacterial small subunit ribosomal RNA", at positions 509 to 807 of the family's 1533-position model. The record is from RNAcentral.
CAGUAGCCGCGGUAAAACGAAGGGGGCUAGCGUUGCUCGGAAUGACUGGGCGUAAAGGGCGCGUAGGCGGCGGCCAAAGUCAGGCGUGAAAUUCCCGGGCUCAACCUGGGGGCUGCGUUUGAUACUUGGUUGCUUGAGUGGGGAAGAGGGUCGUGGAAUUCCCAGUGUAGAGGUGAAAUUCGUAGAUAUUGGGAAGAACACCAGUGGCGAAGGCGGCGACCUGGUCCUUUACUGACGCUGAGGCGCGAAAGCGUGGGGAGCAAACAGGAUUAGAUACCCGGGUAGUCCCUGUCUCUUAUAC